RNAcentral lists this ribosomal RNA (253 nucleotides) under uncultured bacterium. Its description in RNAcentral is "partial 16S ribosomal RNA". It matches the Rfam family "Bacterial small subunit ribosomal RNA", at positions 524 to 776 of the family's 1533-position model. The record is from RNAcentral.
UACGUAGGGGGCAAGCGUUGUCCGGAAUCAUUGGGCGUAAAGAGCGUGUAGGCGGCCAGAUAAGUCCGCUGUGAAAACUCGAGGCUCAACUUCGAGCUGUCGGUGGAAACUAUUUGGCUAGAGUCCGGAAGAGGAGAGUGGAAUUCCCGGUGUAGCGGUGAAAUGCGUAGAGAUCGGGAGGAACACCAGCGGCGAAGGCGGCGACCUGGACAAGUACUGACACUCAACUACGAAAGCGUGGGGAGCAAACAGG